RNAcentral lists this ribosomal RNA (394 nucleotides) under uncultured bacterium. RNAcentral describes it as "bacterial SSU rRNA". It matches the Rfam family "Bacterial small subunit ribosomal RNA", at positions 28 to 414 of the family's 1533-position model. The record is from RNAcentral.
GACGAACGCUGGCGGCGUGCUUAACACAUGCAAGUCGAGCGAGAAGACGUAGCAAUACGUUUGUAAAGCGGCGAACGGGUGAGGAAUACAUGGGUAACCUACCCUCGAGUGGGGAAUAACUAGCCGAAAGGUUAGCUAAUACCGCGUACGCUCCUUGGACUUCGGUUCAGGGAGGAAAGCGAUACCGUGGGUAUCGCGCUCUUGGAUGGGCUCAUGUCCUAUCAGCUUGUUGGUGAGGAACGGCUCACCAAGGCUUCGACGGGUAGCUGGUCUGAGAGGACGAUCAGCCACACUGGCACUGCGACACGGGCCAGACUCCUACGGGAGGCAGCAGUGGGGAAUAUUGGACAAUGGGCGAAAGCCUGAUCCAGCGAUGCCGCGUGUGUGAAGAAGG